Molecule: ribosomal RNA, 496 nt
Filed under: uncultured bacterium
Lineage: Bacteria
Description: partial 16S ribosomal RNA
Rfam family: Bacterial small subunit ribosomal RNA
Source: RNAcentral
GAUGAACGCUGGCGGCGUGCCUAAUACAUGCAAGUCGAGCGAACAGACGAGGAGCUUGCUCCUCUGACGUUAGCGGCGGACGGGUGAGUACACGUGGUUAACCUUACUUUAAGGAUGGGAUUACUUCGGGAAACCGGGGCCUAUACCGGAAAAAUUUAUGGACCGCAUGGUUCCAUAGUUAAAGUCGGUUUUUCUGUUACUUAUAGAUGGAUCCGCGCCGCAUUAGCUAGUUGGUAAGGUAACGGCUUACCAAGGCAACGAUGCGUAGCCGACCUGAGAGGGUGAUCGGCCACACUGGAACUGAGACACGGUCCAGACUCCUACGGGAGGCAGCAGUAGGGAAUCUUCCGCAAUGGGCGAAAGCCUGACGGAGCAACGCCGCGUGAGUGAUGAAGGUCUUCGGAUCGUAAAACUCUGUUAUUAGGGAAGAACAAAUGUGUAAGUAACUAUGCACGUCUUGACGGUACCUAAUCAGAAAGCCACGGCUAACUACGUG